RNAcentral lists this ribosomal RNA (254 nucleotides) under uncultured bacterium. Its description in RNAcentral is "partial 16S ribosomal RNA". It matches the Rfam family "Bacterial small subunit ribosomal RNA", at positions 524 to 776 of the family's 1533-position model. The record is from RNAcentral.
GACGUAGGGCGCGAGCGUUGUCCGGAUUUAUUGGGCGUAAAGAGCUCGUAGGCGGCUUGUCGCGUCGACUGUGAAAACCCGUGGCUCAACCAUGUGGUCUGCAGUCGAUACGGGCAGGCUAGAAUUCGGUAGGGGAGACUGGAAUUCCUGGUGUAGCGGUGAAAUGCGCAGAUAUCAGGAGGAACACCGGUGGCGAAGGCGGGUCUCUGGGCCGAUAUUGACGCUGAGGAGCGAAAGCCAGGGGAGCAAACGGG